This is a long non-coding RNA of Notolabrus celidotus (New Zealand spotty), 1033 nucleotides long. RefSeq lists it as uncharacterized. The transcript is spliced from 3 exons. Lineage: Eukaryota; Metazoa; Chordata; Actinopteri; Labriformes; Labridae. The record is from RefSeq and is a predicted model, not a curated record.
AAGCAGGAGCGAAAGCACGACAAGCUACAAACUUUGCAAACUGAGUUUCAACUUGACCACAAACCCAAAAACUAGCUGUGACGGAGGAGGAGGAGGAGAAGAAGAAGAAGAGUGUGAUAAAGGAGCAACACUAAACUGCCUACAGACGGAGACAUGCAUUCUUAAGGAGUAGGUCACGACUCAGAUGUGGAGAUAGGGCAGGUGAGCUGUCAGACGAACAAACACCCACAAUAUGGAGAAGAGAAUGAAGAGACGUGGAUGUGGCUGAUUGACAGGCAUCCUGCCAAGGGGCCUCUGCGGUCGCUGAAAUAUGGAAUGCAAAUUACAGCCAUGUAGUCUCCACGGUGCGGAUUCUUGUGCACAAGUCAAGUGAAGAAAUACCACUGCAGUGGAUCACAUUUCUAACAGAUGGAACUCCUGAGUUGAGAUUUCUUCUGUUUGUAUUCAUAAGGAGACGGGAAAUGGAUCAGUUGCCGAAGAAAUAAUAACUUUUCAUACCGUGACCUUUUAGAAACAAAUCUCUUCGCCAAUGCUAACCAAACAGAGAGCUCUGAAAACUUCCUGCGGGGCAUUUCCCACACUCUUUCGAAAGACUGACGUAGACCCUUACCCUGACACAGUAAUACAACAAUAAGAUUUCAUGCCAAGAUAUUUGAGCAUCAGCCGGGCGCCUGAGUGUGUGUGUCUACCUGCAUGUCUGUGAGCAUCCAUGCAUGUUAGUGAGCAACGACUGACCUUUAACCUUGGCGAUGACCGUUCCAGCCGCUCCCAGAAUGUCCACAGAGUUGAGUGUCGGGUGUUUGCCGAUGACAGCCUUGAGGAUUCGGAGUAACUCUGCCAAACGCUCCUGAACCACCACCUGGAGACCUUCAAGAUUCUCUGGAGGAGGAAAAAAAGAAACAGUUCCCUUCAGCUGGAUUCAUUAAGUGUAUGCACCGUUUCGCGGAAGAUGAUUGCGAUACAGUGACUAAGUCAGUUGUUGCAGCACAGAAUUGCUAUGAUGAAACUGCUGCUCUGCUUCCCUCAGGCAGAG